UACGAAGGGGGCUAGCGUUGUUCGGCUUCACGGGGCGUAAAGAGCACGUAGGCGGAUGUGUCAGUCAGGGGUGAAAUCCCGGGGCUCAACCUCGGAACUGCCUCUGAUACAGCACGUCUUGAGUCCGGAAGAGGUGGGUGGAAUUCCUAGUGUAGAGGUGAAAUUCGUAGAUAUUAGGAAGAACACCGGUGGCGAAGGCGACCCACUGGUCCGGUACUGACGCUGAGGUGCGAAAGCGUGGGGAGCAAACAGG
RNAcentral lists this ribosomal RNA (253 nucleotides) under uncultured bacterium. RNAcentral describes it as "partial 16S ribosomal RNA". It matches the Rfam family "Bacterial small subunit ribosomal RNA", at positions 524 to 776 of the family's 1533-position model. The record is from RNAcentral.